This 250-nucleotide ribosomal RNA is filed under the name uncultured prokaryote. Its description in RNAcentral is "partial 16S ribosomal RNA". It matches the Rfam family "Bacterial small subunit ribosomal RNA", at positions 524 to 773 of the family's 1533-position model. The record is from RNAcentral.
CACGUAAGUUGCGAGCGUUGUUCGGAAUUAUUGGGCGUAAAGGGCAUGUAGGCGGACCGGCAAGCUUGGCGUGAAAUCCACGGGCUCAACCCGUGAACUGCGUUGAGAACUACCGGACUUGAGUCGCUGAAGCGCAACCAGAAUUCCAGGUGUAGGGGUGAAAUCUGUAGAUAUCUGGAAGAAUACCAAUGGCGAAGGCAGGUUGCGGGCAGACGACUGACGCUGAGGUGCGAAGGUGCGGGGAGCAAAC